CCUACGGGAGGCAGCAGUAAGGAAUAUUGGUCAAUGGGCGCAAGCCUGAACCAGCCAUGCCGCGUGCAGGAAGACGGCCCUAUGGGUUGUAAACUGCUUUUGAACAAGAGAAAACCUCGGUACGUGUACCGAGCUGAUAGUAUUGUUAGAAUAAGCAUCGGCUAACUUCGUGCCAGCAGCCGCGGUAAGACGAAGGAUGCAAGCGUUAUCCGGAUUCAUUGGGUUUAAAGGGUGCGUAGGCGGCCUGAUAAGUCAGUGGUGAAAUCUCUCAGCUUAACUGAGAAACUGCCAUUGAUACUGUCGGGCUUGAGUACAGAUGAUGUGGGCGGAAUAUGACAUGUAGUGGUGAAAUACUUAGAUAUGUCAUAGAACACCGAUUGCGAAGGCAGCUCACAAAACUGUAACUGACGCUGAGGCACGAAAGUGCGGGGAUCAAACAGGAUUAGAUACCCUGGUAGUCCGCACCGUAAACGAUGAUUACUCGUUGUUGGCAAUAUGACCGUCAGCGACCAAGCGAAAGCGAUAAGAAUCCACCUGGGAGUACGCCGGCAACGGUGAAACUCAAANAGAGUAGAGGNGNGAGAGNGCGACGGACGACACGAGGGAGGAGG
RNAcentral lists this ribosomal RNA (611 nucleotides) under uncultured bacterium. RNAcentral describes it as "bacterial SSU rRNA". It matches the Rfam family "Bacterial small subunit ribosomal RNA", at positions 338 to 953 of the family's 1533-position model. The record is from RNAcentral.